Passer domesticus (house sparrow) is the source of this 472-nucleotide long non-coding RNA. RefSeq lists it as uncharacterized. The transcript has 4 exons. The record is from RefSeq and is a predicted model, not a curated record. Lineage: Eukaryota; Metazoa; Chordata; Aves; Passeriformes; Passeridae.
AGAAAGGUCAAGCUAGUUUUCCACAUUUUAUAUGUGUGUCAUUCUCAAUAUAGCAACAGAAUCUCAUAUAGAAAACAAUGGAGCCCAGGCGCGGAGCUGCUAAUGAGCAUGCUGGAGAGAGUGUCCAGCCCAGCUCUGGCUAGAGACAAUCCACCUGUCUGCUCUCCAGUGCAGGACAGCUGAUGGGACAAGAGUACUACUUAGAGAGAAGAUGAUGAUGAAAGUCACCUUGUCUGUGCUCUUCUAAUGGUCACCUGUGAGGCUUGGAUGCAUCCUACCUAACUAUAAUGGGAUACCUAACCUAGGAACACUAGCCUGCUGUCUCCCCUACAAGGCAAUGUGCACCCUCUGGAUGCUGCUGUGCAUACAACUGCAGAAUUCUAUAUUCAAGAAGUGCUAGACAGAGGCUUUCAGCUACAGCUCUGAAGAUAAUCUUAACAACAACAAACCCAGAAAGGUUUGUACAAAACCA